UCCGAGUUGACCCCGGCAGUCUCCUAUGAGUCCCCACCAUCACGUGCUGGCAACAUAGAACGAGGGUUGCGCUCGUUGCGGGACUUAACCCAACAUCUCACGACACGAGCUGACGACAACCAUGCACCACCUGUCCACCGACCCCGAAGGGAAGCACUGUCUCCAGCGCGGUCCGGCGGAUGUCAAGCCUUGGUAAGGUUCUUCGCGUUGCAUCGAAUUAAUCCGCAUGCUCCGCCGCUUGUGCGGGCCCCCGUCAAUUCCUUUGAGUUUUAGCCUUGCGGCCGUACUCCCCAGGCGGGGCACUUAAUGCGUUAGCUACGGCGCGGAGAACGUGGAAUGUCCCCCACACCUAGUGCCCAACGUUUACGGCAUGGACUAC
This 379-nucleotide unclassified non-coding RNA is filed under the name uncultured Micrococcaceae bacterium. Its description in RNAcentral is "contains 16S-23S intergenic spacer region". The record is from RNAcentral. Lineage: Bacteria; Bacillati; Actinomycetota; Actinomycetes; Micrococcales; Micrococcaceae.